Molecule: non-coding RNA, 24 nt
Filed under: Arabidopsis thaliana (thale cress)
Lineage: Eukaryota; Viridiplantae; Streptophyta; Magnoliopsida; Brassicales; Brassicaceae
Source: RNAcentral
UGACACCCUUUGGGCCUAUAGGAC